GAAUAUUAGUCAAUGGCCUAACGGCUGAACUGGCAACUUGGAGAAGUGGCAAGUCUUCCAGUAUGGGGAGCAAAACAGCUAUGGGUCAAGUCCGAUAUCUUUAGGAGAAGUCUUAUUGUGAGGGCGAGUUAUAUAACACCAUAGGACUGGCCGUCCCAUAUGAAAAGAUUAUAUUAGAAUUGAAUGAAGCUUUGUUUAUAUAUUGAUAAUGACAGUAUAUAUAUCGUGUCUUGACUAAUUGCGUGCCAGCAGUCGCGGUAAUACGUAAGAGACUAGUGUUAUUCAUCUUAAUUAGGUUUAAAGGGUACCCAGACGGUCAAUAUAGCUUAUAAAAUGUUAGUACUUGACUAGAGUUUUAUGUAAGAGGGCAGUACUUGAGGAGGAGAGAUGAAAUUUCGUGAUACCAAAGGGACUCUGUAAAGGCGAAGGCAGCCCUCUAUGUAAAAACUGACGUUGAAGGACGAAGGCACAGAGAACAAACAGGAUUAGAUACCCAAGUAGUCUUUGCAGUAAAUGAUGAAUGCCAUAGGUUAGAUUGGUCAAUUAUAGUCUAGGGUUAGUCUAGCAAACUAAUACCCUAUGCUAUAAUCCUAAUAUCUGGUCUAUAAAUGAAAGUGUAAGCAUUUCACCUCAAGAGUAAUGUGGCAACGCAGGAACUGAAAUCACUAGACCGUUUCUGACACCAGUAGUGAAGUAUGUUAUUUAAUUC
RNAcentral lists this ribosomal RNA (709 nucleotides) under Fusarium oxysporum. RNAcentral describes it as "SSU rRNA". It matches the Rfam family "Bacterial small subunit ribosomal RNA", at positions 359 to 952 of the family's 1533-position model. The record is from RNAcentral. Lineage: Eukaryota; Fungi; Ascomycota; Sordariomycetes; Hypocreales; Nectriaceae.